UACGUAGGGGGCUAGCGUUGUCCGGAAUCAUUGGGCGUAAAGCGCGUGUAGGCGGUCCGGUAAGUCCGCUGUGAAAGUCGGGGGCUCAACCCUCGAAUGCCGGUGGAUACUGUCGGGCUAGAGUACGGAAGAGGCGAGUGGAAUUCCUGGUGUAGCGGUGAAAUGCGCAGAUAUCAGGAGGAACACCAAUUGCGAAGGCAGCUCGCUGGGACGUUACUGACGCUGAGACGCGAAAGCGUGGGGAGCAAGCAGG
RNAcentral lists this ribosomal RNA (253 nucleotides) under uncultured bacterium. Its description in RNAcentral is "partial 16S ribosomal RNA". It matches the Rfam family "Bacterial small subunit ribosomal RNA", at positions 524 to 776 of the family's 1533-position model. The record is from RNAcentral.